RNAcentral lists this ribosomal RNA (402 nucleotides) under uncultured prokaryote. RNAcentral describes it as "bacterial SSU rRNA". It matches the Rfam family "Bacterial small subunit ribosomal RNA", at positions 355 to 774 of the family's 1533-position model. The record is from RNAcentral.
UGGGGAAUAUUGGACAAUGGGCGCAAGCCUGAUCCAGCCAUGCCGCGUGAGUGAUGAAGGCCCUAGGGUUGUAAAGCUCUUUCACCGGAGAAGAUAAUGACGGUAUCCGGAGAAGAAGCCCCGGCUAACUUCGUGCCAGCAGCCGCGGUAAUACGAAGGGGGCUAGCGUUGUUCGGAAUUACUGGGCGUAAAGCGCACGUAGGCGGAUAUUUAAGUCAGGGGUGAAAUCCCAGAGCUCAACUCUGGAACUGCCUUUGAUACUGGGUAUCUCGAGUAUGGAAGAGGUGAGUGGAAUUCCGAGUGUAGAGGUGAAAUUCGUAGAUAUUCGGAGGAACACCAGUGGCGAAGGCGGCUCACUGGUCCAUUACUGACGCUGAGGUGCGAAAGCGUGGGGAGCAAACA